GAUGAACGCUGGCGGCGUGCCUAAUACAUGCAAGUCGAGCGAACAGACGAGGAGCUUGCUCCUCUGACGUUAGCGGCGGACGGGUGAGUAACACGUGGAUAACCUACCUGUAAGACUGGGAUAACUUCGGGAAACCGGAGCUAAUACCGGAUAAUAUAUUGAACCGCAUGGUUCAAUAGUGAAAGACGGUUUUGCUGUCACUUAUAGAUGGAUCCGCGCCGCAUUAGCUAGUUGGUAAGGUAACGGCUUACCAAGGCGACGAUGCGUAGCCGACCUGAGAGGGUGAUCGGCCACACUGGAACUGAGACACGGUCCAGACUCCUACGGGAGGCAGCAGUAGGGAAUCUUCCGCAAUGGGCGAAAGCCUGACGGAGCAACGCCGCGUGAGUGAUGAAGGUCUUCGGAUCGUAAAACUCUGUUAUUAGGGAAGAACAAAUGUGUAAGUAACUAUGCACGUCUUGACGGUACCUAAUCAGAAAGCCACGGCUAACUACGUG
RNAcentral lists this ribosomal RNA (497 nucleotides) under uncultured bacterium. Its description in RNAcentral is "partial 16S ribosomal RNA". It matches the Rfam family "Bacterial small subunit ribosomal RNA", at positions 28 to 507 of the family's 1533-position model. The record is from RNAcentral.